RNAcentral lists this ribosomal RNA (445 nucleotides) under uncultured bacterium. RNAcentral's name for it is "bacterial SSU rRNA". It matches the Rfam family "Bacterial small subunit ribosomal RNA", at positions 354 to 796 of the family's 1533-position model. The record is from RNAcentral.
GUGAGGAAUAUUGGUCAAUGGCCGGGAGGCUGAACCAGCCAAGUCGCGUGAAGGAUGAAGGAUCUAUGGUUUGUAAACUUCUUUUAUACGGGAAUAAAGUGUGGGACGUGUCCCAUUUUGUAUGUACCGUAUGAAUAAGCAUCGGCUAACUCCGUGCCAGCAGCCGCGGUAAUACGGAGGAUGCGAGCGUUAUCCGGAUUUAUUGGGUUUAAAGGGUGCGUAGGUGGUUGUUUAAGUCAGCGGUGAAAGUUUGUGGCUCAACCAUAAAAUUGCCGUUGAAACUGGAUGACUUGAGUAUAUUUGAGGUAGGCGGAAUGCGUGGUGUAGCGGUGAAAUGCAUAGAUAUCACGCAGAACUCCGAUUGCGAAGGCAGCUUACUAAACUAUAACUGACACUGAAGCACGAAAGCGUGGGGAUCAAACAGGAUUAGAAACCCGAGUAGUCC